This 225-nucleotide ribosomal RNA is filed under the name uncultured Thorsellia sp. Its description in RNAcentral is "partial 16S ribosomal RNA". It matches the Rfam family "Bacterial small subunit ribosomal RNA", at positions 568 to 792 of the family's 1533-position model. The record is from RNAcentral. Lineage: Bacteria; Pseudomonadati; Pseudomonadota; Gammaproteobacteria; Enterobacterales; Thorselliaceae.
CACGCAGGCGGUCUGUUAAGUCAGAUGUGAAAUCCCCGGGCUUAACCUGGGAACUGCCUUUGUGACUGCAUCGCUGGAGUACGGCAGAGGGGGGUAGAAUUCCAGGUGUAGCGGUGAAAUGCGUAGAGAUCUGGAGGAAUACCGAUUGCGAAGGCAGCCCCCUGGACAGUGACUGACGCUCAUAUGCGAAAGCGUGGGGAUCAAACAGGAUUAGAUACCCUAGUA